RNAcentral lists this microRNA precursor (75 nucleotides) under Scleropages formosus (Asian bonytongue). Its description in RNAcentral is "mir-551 microRNA precursor family". It matches the Rfam family "mir-551 microRNA precursor family". Lineage: Eukaryota; Metazoa; Chordata; Actinopteri; Osteoglossiformes; Osteoglossidae. The record is from Rfam by way of RNAcentral.
AAGCCCUGGAAACCAAGCAUGGGUGAGGCCUGCGAAUACAAUAUCAUGGCGACCCAUCCUUGGUUUCUGAGGCUU